AUUAAGAAAACUUAUAUUUAGAUUGGCAUGGGAUUAUCAAAUGGAUGAUGGUAUUGCCUGCUUUUGGAGCUGUUGUUGAUGAGAUGAGGAUUUUGAGCGACAAGAAUGUCCAAAUAUUUGAUACAACUUGCCCAUGGGUGUCUAAGAUAUUUCCCCCUAUCCUUUAUCCAUGGUACAAAAGUUAUCAAAAUGUCAGAUUCUUGUAGUUAGGAAUUCAGCCCGACCUAUUCACAAGAGAUAUUUGAAGAAUGCAACCUCCUGCUGACAAUCUUACUCUAUUUUUUUUCUUUUUUCCUUUUGGAGAUAGUUGAUAGGAUUUAGAGCAAUUUCGUAGCAUUUAAACUAACAUUUAUUGGUUUAAGUUUUCUAAUUUAUUUAUCUUUUUUAAUUGUAACAAAAUUUGAAUUGAAGUUUGAA
Molecule: long non-coding RNA, 417 nt
Organism: Salvia miltiorrhiza (redroot sage)
Lineage: Eukaryota; Viridiplantae; Streptophyta; Magnoliopsida; Lamiales; Lamiaceae
Exons: 3
Source: RefSeq, a predicted model, not a curated record